RNAcentral lists this ribosomal RNA (1000 nucleotides) under Paraburkholderia caribensis. Its description in RNAcentral is "bacterial SSU rRNA". It matches the Rfam family "Bacterial small subunit ribosomal RNA", at positions 39 to 1046 of the family's 1533-position model. The record is from RNAcentral. Lineage: Bacteria; Pseudomonadati; Pseudomonadota; Betaproteobacteria; Burkholderiales; Burkholderiaceae.
GCGGCAUGCUACACAUGCAGUCGACGCAGCGCGGGGUACCUGCGCGAGCGCGAACGGCGAGUAAUACAUCGGAACGUGUCCUGGAGUGGGGAUAGCCCGGCGAAAGCCGGAUUAAUACCGCAUACGCUCUGUGGAGGAAAGCGGGGGAUCUUCGGACCUCGCGCUCAAGGGGCGGCCGAUGGCAGAUUAGCUAGUUGGUGGGGUAAAGGCCUACCAAGGCGACGAUCUGUAGCUGGUCUGAGAGGACGACCAGCCACACUGGGACUGAGACACGGCCCAGACUCCUACGGGAGGCAGCAGUGGGGAAUUUUGGACAAUGGGGGCAACCCUGAUCCAGCAAUGCCGCGUGUGUGAAGAAGGCCUUCGGGUUGUAAAGCACUUUUGUCCGGAAAGAAAACCGCUUCUCUAAUACAGAGGCGGGAUGACGGUACCGGAAGAAUAAGCACCGGCUAACUACGUGCCAGCAGCCGCGGUAAUACGUAGGGUGCAAGCGUUAAUCGGAAUUACUGGGCGUAAAGCGUGCGCAGGCGGUUCGCUAAGACCGAUGUGAAAUCCCCGGGCUUAACCUGGGAACUGCAUUGGUGACUGGCGGGCUAGAGUAUGGCAGAGGGGGGUAGAAUUCCACGUGUAGCAGUGAAAUGCGUAGAGAUGUGGAGGAAUACCGAUGGCGAAGGCAGCCCCCUGGGCCAAUACUGACGCUCAUGCACGAAAGCGUGGGGAGCAAACAGGAUUAGAUACCCUGGUAGUCCACGCCCUAAACGAUGUCAACUAGUUGUCGGGUCUUCAUUGACUUGGUAACGAAGCUAACGCGUGAAGUUGACCGCCUGGGGAGUACGGUCGCAAGAUUAAAACUCAAAGGAAUUGACGGGGACCCGCACAAGCGGUGGAUGAUGUGGAUUAAUUCGAUGCAACGCGAAAAACCUUACCUACCCUUGACAUGUACGGAACCUUGCUGAGAGGUGAGGGUGCCCGAAAGGGAGCCGUAACACAGGUGCUGCAU